UCAUGAAUCUUCCGCAAUGCGCGAAAGCGUGACGGAGCGACGCCGCGUGAUCGAAGACGCCCUUCGGGGUGUAAAGAUCUUUUAUCAGGGAAGAACGAUGACGGUACCUGAUGAAUAAGGGGCUGCUAAACUCGUGCCAGCAGCAGCGGUAAUACGAGUGCCCCGAGCGUUAUCCGGAUUUAUUGGGCGUAAAGCGUCUCAAGGCGGUUUGGUAAGUCAAAUGUCAAAUCUCAAGGCUCAACCCUGAGACUGCAUUCGAAACUAUCAGACUAGAGGAUGGGAGAGGUCAACGGAAUGGCUGGUGUAGCAGUAAAAUGCGUUAAUAUCAGUUGGAACACCAAAGGCGAAGGCAGUUGACUGGAACACUCCUGACGCUCACAGACGAAAGCGUGGGUAGCGAAUGGGAUUAGAUACCCCCGUAGUCC
Molecule: ribosomal RNA, 425 nt
Filed under: uncultured prokaryote
Description: bacterial SSU rRNA
Rfam family: Bacterial small subunit ribosomal RNA
Source: RNAcentral